This 497-nucleotide ribosomal RNA is filed under the name uncultured bacterium. RNAcentral describes it as "partial 16S ribosomal RNA". It matches the Rfam family "Bacterial small subunit ribosomal RNA", at positions 28 to 507 of the family's 1533-position model. The record is from RNAcentral.
GAUGAACGCUGGCGGCGUGCCUAAUACAUGCAAGUCGAGCGAACAGACGAUGAGCUUGCUCCUCUGACGUUAGCGGCGGACGGGUGAGUAACACGUGGAUAACCUACCUAUAAGACUGGGAUAACUUCGGGAAACCGGAGCUAAUACCGGAUAAUAUAUUGAACCGCAUGGUUCAAUAGUGAAAGACGGUUUUGCUGUCACUUCUAGAUGGAUCCGCGCCGCAUUAGCUAGUUGGUAAGGUAACGGCUUACCAAGGCCACGAUGCGUAGCCGACCUGAGAGGGUGAUCGGCCACACUGGAACUGAGACACGGUCCAGACUCCUACGGGAGGCAGCAGUAGGGAAUCUUCCGCAAUGGGCGAAAGCCUGACGGAGCAACGCCGCGUGAGUGAUGAAGGUCUUCGGAUCGUAAAACUCUGUUAUUAGGGAAGAACAAAUGUGUAAGUAACUAUGCACGUCUUGACGGUACCUAAUCAGAAAGCCACGGCUAACUACGUG